This is a long non-coding RNA of Bactrocera dorsalis (oriental fruit fly), 7604 nucleotides long. RefSeq lists it as uncharacterized. NCBI's taxonomy places the organism in Eukaryota, Metazoa, Arthropoda, Insecta, Diptera, Tephritidae. The record is from RefSeq and is a predicted model, not a curated record. The transcript is spliced from 3 exons.
UAGUUAUUAUGCUAAUCAUUUAUUACUUGAUUUUUCUGUAUUAUUGGCAAUUGUUGCAAUAUUUUUAUGAUAUUUAAUUUACGAUCGGCUUAUGAAGUAUAGUAACUCCACGUUUGGCUCAGAUAUGGCCAGAAUGGGUACUCUUUAGCCCUGGGGUUAGGACUGUGACAAUAACUACGAAAAGCAGUUACAAACUCAUAAAUGCGCAUCAUAUAGUUUCAUAUCGUAUGAACGUAAAAACAAAUACAUACAUAUGUUUAAAACCAAAGCCAUUUUCAGCAUUUAUUCUGAGCCCUCGGGUACUCUGCUAGCAGUACACCGAUAUACAUUCCAUCGCAUAUGUGUACGUACACAACACUAGGCAAAAUAUUCGCCUAGGGGGCCCAGGAUGUUUAAAUGAGUUAAGCAUCCGCCUACUUUUCCCGAAAAAACUGGCGCACCCUAAUACGACCACGCAGUUCACCACAGCUGAUGACACCACAACAGAACACCAACACAUCUCACUACAGCUGUACAUCAACCCACUCAUCAAAAGGGUUAGAAAAAAAAGGAAAGCGGACACAAUUCGACUCUCAUAAUUCGAUCAUCAACACAUACACUCAUCGCACGUCAGCAUUCUCCAUACACGCAUCGCCUAUACACAUUCGUUUUGGAUACUUUCGCUUAAACACUGCGCCGGGUCGACAUCGACGAUUCGCUACCACAAUUCGUUCGACACUGCGCACAUCGACUAUUUCGACAUCGCUUCGUUCUACAUCGAUCCCGCAUUUGUUUCCUAUUUAGAAUAAGUUUCCAUUUGGUGUAACCGGAAUUUAUAUUACAAAUAAAUUAACACUUAUUUCCGAUCCGCUAAAAUAAUGGUUUUAAUUAGAAAUAUUAGUCGUGAGUGCUAGUGACUCCUAAAACUUAAAUGCAGUGGUGUGAUUCUCCCUUAGGUGGGCAUUCAAAUAUUCACAAAGCAUACAUGACCUACUAUACUUGUAAGAAAAUCGUCAACAAGAAUUGGGGCCUCAAACCAAGUAUAAUCAUGUGGAUGUAAGUAAAGUAUGUAGGCUGUAAUCCCUGUAUCAGCCGGUCGAUGGACGCGGCAAUAACAAUGCAGGUUAUAUAUUUGCAGUACUCUUUUAUUGGCCACAGACGUGUACUCUGGCUAAAGUUCAACUUAAAUCUAAACUAGCCCAAAACCUAACUUAACAAUUAAGCCUAAGAACGCAUAUCCAUAUCCAGUAAUCGACGCUGCCGGCUUUGACGUCUGCGUCGUGCUGACUCUGCUCCAUACAAUUGUUUACCCAAUUGCUGAUAGUGCAAGCAACGAUCGCUGGUCAACUGUUUACGCAAUCGGCUAUUGACACUGUGGUUCGCUGUCCGACCGCCUCGCCGCCUUGGUGGUUGUUAUUGUUUAUGUAAUCUGAGUCGUUGCUUUAGUGGCGGUCGUCGCCCACACAAUCUGCUGAUGAGGCAAGAUGUUGUAUUGGCCUCACCACACUCGUACCCAACUGGAAAUUGGGCACUAUGUGUUAACUUGUACACGGCGGUCAUAAGACCCUUACUAACAUAUGGAGCUCUGGUAUGGUGGCCAGCGCUAAACAAACAAUACAACAUUAGAAAAUUAAAUGGAAUACAAAGAGCAGCAUGUGCAGGUGUUACGGGCGCAAUCAGGUCAUGUCCGACUGAUGCGCUCAAUGUGAUCCUGCAUCAACUACCAAUGGACAUUUUUAUUCACAAAACAGCAGCUAUUGCGGCGAUAAGAAUAAACGAAUUGGGAGGGUGGAAUCAGCAGAACUACGGACAUAGUGUAAUCCUAAACAAGCUCACUAUUAAUAAAUCAGACUACAUUCUCCCAAAGCUGGAUUUCAAUAGACACUUCCAGGUGAGGAUACCAUCUAGACGAGAAUGGAGAAGAGGUUCAAUAGCAGAGGAGGAUACCACCUCAGUCUAUACCGACGGGUCCAAAAUGAACUGCGGAGUGGGCACGGGGGUAUCUCCGCUGAUCUGGGCAUAUCUCUCUCUAUACGUCUACCGAACUCGGCAAGCUUCUUCCAAGCAGAAGUACUAGGCAUAGAAAAAGCCUGCGAGGUUCUAUUAGAAAACCACGGGAAUAUGCAUAAAGCAACUAUAUUUACGGAUAGCCAGGCGGCCCUCCUGGCACUGUCUUCACCCAUGACAAAUUCCAGUAUAGUUCACAACUGCAAGAGAGCACUAAGCUCAAUAAAAGACAAGCUCCAACUAAACUUGAUCUGGGUUCCCGGCCACAGAAACAUUUUCGGUAACGAAAAAGCAGAUGAGUUGGCAAAGGCAGGAGCUUUACUCAAUGAAUCCGAGGCGGAGAUAAUACCAAGCCCGCUAGGAUCGAUCAAAGGGGAGAUCAAUAGACAAUUUCAACAAAUUGCAAACAACAGGUGGAAAAACAUUACAAAAUGCGUCAUAACUAAACAAUUAUGGCCAACAUAUGACAGGAAAAGAACCAUCGACUUAUUAAAUAGGUCAAGAAAAAGUAUUUACAGAAUAACAGCUACCACAACAGGGCACUGGCCAUUUGGGGAACAUGCAUCCAAAAUGGGUAUGCCCUACAACGACAUCUGCCGUGGCUGCGGAGUAGCAGGGAACAAUGAAACAAUCUUCCACUUUCUCUGCGAAUGCCCAGCUCUAGCACAGAUCCCACACAAAACACUCGGAAUCCACCAAGCACCAACCCUUGAAUGGAUUUCCACCAAAAGCAUAUCGGAAAUAAGUAGUUUCAUCGAAACCUCAAAAUGGUUUGAGAGAGAAGGUGAAACGUAAUAGCAGAUACAGGAAGUUCUACGAAUUAGUGUAUCAAAAUGGCACAUCACUGCUAAUUGAGCCCGAUAGGGCUGCACUCCUACCUACCUACCUUACAUAAUGAAUUAGAAUUAAUGUGCACUGGAGCAUCUGGAAACAUGGAAGUAUCUUCGAUUAUUGAAAUGUUUAAACUUUCUAUUGUAAAACAUGGCUUGAGGUACGUGAAUUAUAUAGUGGAUGGAGAUUCUAAAACAUACUCUGGUAUUCUCAAAGCCAAACCUUAUGGUGAAAAUUUUGUUGUCAAUAAGAAAGAAUGCGUUGGUCACGUACAGAAGAGGAUGGGAACCCGGUUGCGCGAUUUAGUGAAGAAAAUUGUUGAGGAAAAAAUAGUCAAUGGUAAAAAAACUAAAAUAAAUUAUUUCUGGUAAAGGUAAAUUGACUAGUAAAUUGAUUGACAAAUUAACUGUAUAUUAUGGCUUAGCAGUAGAAGAAACAGUGAUUCAGCUGAUAAAAUGAGGGAUGCGAUAUGGGCAACUUACUACCACUACAGUUCUACAGACAAAAACCCGCAUCAUCAAAAUUGCCCUAAAGAUCCAGACACGUGGUGCACCUGGCAGCGAGCAUCAUCAUCAGGUACUCUCUCAUCGUUCAAACACCAAUAUACUCCAUUACCAGAUGAUGUUUUGACUGCAAUGAAACCAAUUUAUGAAGACCUGAGUAAGGAUGAGCUUUUGGAGCGGUGUGUUGGAGGAUUUACACAAAAUAACAAUGAAAGUUUCAAUCAGUUGAUUUGGAAAAUUACUCCCAAAAUACUUCCAGCUGGGUCGAUAACAAUGUGAUAGCUUUAUUCAAAAAAUGGACAAGACCAAUUUCGACGGUUUCCUCCCAUUUCGGGUCCUACGAAUCGAACUGCAUCAUUACUUUUUUGAGUUACAAUCAUGGUUUCAUACAAAAAUUUUUGUUGAAGUUUUUCAUCAAAGUGGCCCAUUGUAAGAGAAAGGCACAUUUUUCUUCGGUCUCUAACUUUUUUAAUGUUGACUUUUUUGGUUUUUCGAAAAAACUGAAAUUUAAUCCAUUUUUUUUUAAUGUUUUUUCCCUCACGUUUCGUCAACAUUUAUAUUUACCCUUUGAUACUUAUACAUUAAGUGACAUCUUGUAAUAGUAAGAAACUUAAGCAAAGACAACGUUCUGAGCAAACUAACCAUUAGAAAAAAAAAUUAUAAUUUGUACUUUUUGCUUGUGUGCUGUUUUAUUUUUUUUUUGUAUCUUAUAAGUUUUAUCAAUAAGUAUCAUAAAUUUGUACACAAUAUUUAAAUUAAAUUUAAUAAGACUCAUCUGUCAAUGUCCAACACAAAUCAACAAGCAACAAGUCAAACUUUUUGCCGCUGUACCAAUGCUCAAGGGGGGCGGCGACUUGGUGAAAUCUUUUUUCCAUGCUCAUCGGAUUCAGUCGGAACUUGCUGCUCAAAAUGGUCCUUGUGAUGGUGAAGGAAAUGAAUUUUUAAGGACAUAUUCACACCUAUUUCUUCAAAAGCGUAUACCAUGUCAUCCACAUAUUUUUUCUAAUCUUGAGACCAGUGCACUCCUAAACAAUGGUUUAUAACGGUCAUAACGGAGUUCCAGGCAAUUUUUUCAUUUGGCCUUAGAAGUUCUCCGAAUUUUGCGUUCUUCAUAAGUUUUCUUAUAUCGGGGCCAUUGAGAACACCUGAAAAUAAUGUAUCAACAUAACAUUCGUUCUAUUAAAAGACUUAAAAUACCUUCUUUUAUUUUCGCAACACUUAGUUUUGGAAAUAUUUCUGUCAAACAUUUAAAAGCUUCGGCAUCUCGAUUUAUUGCUUUUAUGAAAUUUUUGACAAUUCUCAAUUUUAUGUGCAAUGGGGGUAGCAAAAUGUUAUUAGCUGGUAUCAGCGGAAUAUGGAUAACAUUUGCCACAUUUAAAUGAAAUUCUGUGCGAAGCUUCCAAUCACGCAUUCUAUAUUGGUUUCCGUGGUACUUUGUGUCCCAAUGGCAAAUGAAGCACAUAUUUUUUGUGUAUCCUGUCUGCAAACCAGUUAGCAAGGCGAUAACUUUUAAAUCCGCACAUAUCUUCCAUUGAUGCUGCUGAUACUGAACUCUGUUCAAAAUUAAUUUCAUUGCUUCGAAUGUUUCCUUUGUGUUGGAGCUUAUGGCGAUUGGAACCGGAUUUUUUGUGUUAUCCACAUACAGCAAUACUGCUUUUAAACUAUUUUUCGACGAGUCAAUAAACAAGCGCCAUUGCUCUGGCUUGUACUCACAGUUCAUGUAGUGCAUAAUACCAGGAGUAUUUUUACAAUACGAAAAAGUAUUGUCGCCAUUAACCUCAAAGAAAUCUAAAAGCUCCUUCUGUCUUUUGCGGUAUCCAUACACCUUCACAUCUUUAGACAAUAUAUUUACCGAUCGAAGAUGAUGUGCUAGGCAAAUCACUUGUCUUUGCGAUAAUUUCAGCUGUCGUACCAUCGUAUUCAAGCGGGAUUGGGGAAUCUCCAAGUGACGACAUGGGCUUUCAACUUCGGUUGGGUUAUACAUUGAGAGUAGAUCCGUAGGCUCGGUGGAAAAUGUUGGCGAAAUAUAUCUGUCAGUUGGACUUGGACAUCUUGGUAUCGGAACAUUUUCUGAGUGAGAUACUGGUAGCUGUGCAGAUUGAACACUUUUGUAAACUGUGUUUUUUUUGUUGAGUCUUGCAAAUUUGUUCUUGCACGCGUAGCAGUUACCAGUAUGAUGCCCAUGUGGAUCUAUCCAAAUCAUUAGGAUGCCGAACCCCAUUUUUAGGCACAGUCUUUUUGACCAGUUAUGCAGGUUGUUGUUGCAUUGCGUGCAAAUGGUAUUUGGCACCAAAUCUACGUCUCUUAUAACGGGCAAAUCGAAAUAUUCCUCGUAGAUGCCGGCAGUUCCCGAGGAUAUUUUGCGUCUACUCCGAGGGCUUGUAAAUUUUCCACAUACGUAGCAGAACAACGAUAGGCCAAUUGGACACUUAUUCAUUUUAAUUUAUUUUCUUAAUAUACAAGGCACUAAAACAAUACAAAUUUUAAGUUUUUUUUUCUAAUGGUUAGUUUGCUCAGAACGUUGUCUUUGCUUAAGUUUCUUACUAUUACAAGAUGUCACUUAAUGUAUAAAUAUCAAAGGGUAAAUUAAAAUAUUGACGAAACGUGAGGGAAAAAACAUUAAAUUUAAAUGGAUUAAAUUUCAGUUUUUUCGACAUAUUGGCUAUAAGUAUCCCCGCAAAACUAAUACGGCUGUGUAAACUGACGUUGAGCGGGACCAAAAGCUCCGUCAGGAUCGGGAAGGACCUCUCCGAGUCGUUCGAUACCAAACGAGGUUUCAGACAAGGCGAUUCCUUAUCGUGCGAUUUCUUCAAUCUGCUGCUGGAGAAAAUAGUUCGAGCUGCAGAACUUAAUCGAGCAGGUACAAUCUUUUAUAAGAGUGUACAGCUGCUUGCGUUUGCCGAUGAUAUUGAUAUCAUCGGUCUCAACACCCGCGCCGUUAGUUCUGCUUUCUCCAGACUGAAUAAGGAAGCAAAACAAAUGAGUCUGGCAGUGAACGAGGGCAAGACGAAAUAUCUCCUGUCAUCAAUUAAACAGUCGUCGCACUCGCGACUUGGCACUCACGUCACUGUUGACAGUCAUAACUUUGAAGUUGUAAAUAAUUUCGUCUAUCUUGGAACCAGCGUAAACACUACCAACAAUGUCAGCUUAGAAAUCCAACGCAGGAUAACUCUUGCCAACAGGUGCUACUUCGUCCUCUCUCGACGAACAAAAACCAAACUCUAUAAGUCACUCAUAAUACCCGUCCUGCUCUAUGGUGCAGAGGCUUGGACGAUGACAACAUCUGAUGAGUCGACGUUGCGAGUUUUCGAGAGAAAAGUUCUGCGAAAGAUUUAUGGUCCUUUGUAUUCGACGCUGUAACCGCCGGGGGAAGCAGAGGGAGGGGAACACCUCCACUCCGUUGGAAGGACCAAGUGGAGAAGGACCUGGCUUCGCUUGGAAUAUCCAAUUGGCGCCACGUAGCAAAGAGAAGAAACGACUGGCGCGCUGUUGUUGACUCGGCUAUAAUCGCGUAAGCGGUGUCUACGCCAGUAAAGAAGAAGAAGGCUAUAAGGAUACAAAAAAACAUUGAUUUUGGGGUUUACAGUCAUCUAAGAACUUAGAGACGGACUUAUUCUGAGAAGCUUUGCCAAAGAAAGUUUACCAAAACAGUCAACAUUAAAAAAGUUAGAGACCGAAGAAAAAUGUGCCUUUCUCUUACAAUGGGCCACUUUGAUGAAAAACUUCAACAAAAAUUUUUGUAUGAAACCAUGAUUGUAACUCAAAAAAGUAAUGAUGCAGUUCGAUUCGUAGGACCCGAAAUAGGGGGAAACCGUCGAAUUUGUCUUUUUUUGACUAUCACAGUGUAAUCGUUCAAAUUGCUGCAUUAAUCGCUGCUUGUAUUUUCAAUGAAGGGAUAUCAGCAUUACUAUUAAUUAUGCACGGUACGGACGUUUGAAAACUUUGUCCAAAUUCCCAUGAAUAUGCCCGAAACAUGGAUGAAAACCGGGUGACCGCAGCCGAAAAGACCAGCGAGACUCGUGAAGCCAGGAUUCGUCAUAGACUGGAGCAAAAGUAUGCCCUGGACAUUGCAGCAGCAGCAGCAGGUUCUCUACUUUAUGGCCCAGGAAUCGACGAUUCAAUAUGACCCUGAAAGAAGUUCUGCUGACAACGCGGAUGCACCUUUUUUCCGAGGGACUGCCGGAAAUGGCGUCGUAAUGACUGCCAUUUUGCUAUUUUUUUUGAAAAUUUUACAAAAUGUUUAUUAAGUAUGAGUCGUUUAAGUAAAAAAAAAUUUGAUUAAAA